GCAAGCUCAUGCAAGACCCUGAGGCUGAAGUUUUAUUUGUUUGUUUUCUGAACUCAUGUUUACAAAAAAUACAAGAACAGAAAUACAAGAACAGACCAGAGAGAGAGAGUUAAGCUCAAAUGGGAGGCAAGGCCCCAUACUGUACACUCAAGUAGGGCUGUAACAUCAGGUGGGCGCUAGCCCACAAAGUGGUGAUGGAAGAGAAGUCAGAUGUUCCUACAAAGCAUCCUGAAGCCACAAUGGCUAAAAUCAUGAGAAUGAAGAUGCACAGCAUAAAGAAACCUACUCUCCAGAUCGCUGCCUCCAAAGUACCUGGGCAGCUUUGCACAAGUGAGAAGCAAGAGUGAGAAUAAUGAGUGAGAAAAUGAAACAGGAUGACUCCAUCACGUACAAAAUCCUAUCUGAGUACCUUUUAGAUUGAAGGUUAACUGUGAGAAGAUGAGGUUUCAGCAGCUCCUCAGUCUCAGGUUCCUCCUGUAGACACUGUAGCAGGCAUCAUUAAUGUAGUAUUUCUAACUCAAUUUCUCUAGUUUGUAUUUAUUUUAUUGAACUUCAUAUAGACGUCAUACAUUUCCAAGAUUUGUGGAGUUUGUCAUGCCGUCAUUCACUUCAGCUGUUGAGGCCAGCAGUUUAAUUUCCUCUGCAAAGGACAGAGGGCGGUCGGGCACUCGUUCCUUCUCUCUCAUCAGGUCACUAAAAACAGAGUGACGCAGUACAUUAUGAGCUCUCCCACUAUACUGUAUAAUCUUUUAAAGCAAGAGGAUCUGUGAGUCGGGAUUACAAUGUGGCCUCAUCUCGUCUGUCCUCCAUCUGCUUACUCAGCUCCUGCGUUGUCUGCCUGAGGUCCUGCAGCACAGACACAGGGCCAGACAGUAAAACACCUCAAAAGUUUAUAAGCCAGAAUUGUGCAACUGCCGCAAGAGUGCUGUGCAUUUAGACAUGGAGACUGUUGGACAUUUGUUCAAAUGGGCACUCUUUGUGAGCAUCGCCUAUGGACUGAUUCCAAAUGCAGUAUCACAUUUCAGAAAUCUCUGACUCUUACAUUGCAGAUGAAGUA
Oreochromis aureus is the source of this 1057-nucleotide long non-coding RNA. Lineage: Eukaryota; Metazoa; Chordata; Actinopteri; Cichliformes; Cichlidae. The record is from Ensembl.